The sequence is a ribosomal RNA, 948 nucleotides long. It matches the Rfam family "Eukaryotic large subunit ribosomal RNA", at positions 31 to 963 of the family's 3401-position model.
AACUUAAGCAUAUCAAUAAGYGGAGGAAAAGAAACUAACAAGGAUUCCCUUAGUAACUGCGAGUGAAGUGGGAAGAGCUCAAAUUUGUAAUCUGGCAGCUCUAUGGCUGUCCGAAUUGUAAUCUGGAGAAGUGCUACCUGUGCUGGACCAUGUAAAAGUCUCCUGGAAUGGAGCAUCAUAGAGGGUGAGAAUCCCGUCUUUGACAUGGACUCCCAGGACUUUAUGGUACGCUCUCAAAGAGUCGAGUUGUUUGGGAAUGCAGCUCAAAAUGGGUGGUAAAUGCCAUCUAAAGCUAAAUAUUGGCGAGAGACCGAUAGCGAACAAGUACCGUGAGGGAAAGAUGAAAAGAACUUUGGAAAGAGAGUUAAACAGUACGUGAAAUUGCUGAAAGGGAAACGCUUGAAGUCAGUCGCAUCAGCUGGAAAUCAACCUUUGCUUUUGCUUGGUGUACUUUCUGUCUGAUGGGUCAGCAUCAAUUUUGGCUGCUAGAUAAAGUUCUUGGGAAUGUAGCAUCUCAGGAUGUGUUAUAGCUCUUGGACGUAUAUGGCAGUUGGGAUUGAGGAACUCAGCACGCCUCAUAGGCUGGGCUUGUCCACAUAACGUGCUUAGGAUGCUGGCAUAAUGGCUUUAAUCGACCCGUCUUGAAACACGGACCAAGGAGUCUAACAUGCAUGCGAGUGUUUGGGUGGAAAACCCAURYGCRUAAUGAAAGUGAUGGUUGAGAUCCCUGUCAUGGGGAGCAUCGACGCCCAGACCAGACCUUCUGUGACGGAUCUGCGGUAGAGCAUGUAUGUUGGGACCCGAAAGAUGGUGAACUAUGCCUGAAUAGGGUGAAGCCAGAGGAAACUCUGGUGGAGGCUCGUAGCGAUUCUGACGUGCAAAUCGAUCGUCAAAUUUGGGUAUAGGGGCGAAAGACUAAUCGAACCAUCUAGUAGCUGGUUCCUGCCG